GUUAAUGUAGCAGAACUUGGCUAUGCAAAAGACCUAAAACCUUUCCCUAGGGGUUCAAAUCCCCUCACUAACU
RNAcentral lists this transfer RNA (73 nucleotides) under Gephyromantis klemmeri (Klemmer's Madagascar frog). Its description in RNAcentral is "tRNA-Leu(UUR)". It matches the Rfam family "tRNA". From Rfam's summary of the family: Transfer RNA (tRNA) molecules are approximately 80 nucleotides in length. Lineage: Eukaryota; Metazoa; Chordata; Amphibia; Anura; Mantellidae. The record is from RNAcentral.